This 457-nucleotide ribosomal RNA is filed under the name uncultured bacterium. Its description in RNAcentral is "partial 16S ribosomal RNA". It matches the Rfam family "Bacterial small subunit ribosomal RNA", at positions 338 to 795 of the family's 1533-position model. The record is from RNAcentral.
CCUACGGGCGGCAGCAGUGGGGAAUAUUGCACAAUGGGGGAAACCCUGAUGCAGCGACGCCGCGUGAGUGAAGAAGUAUUUCGUUAUGUAAAGCUCUAUCAGCAGGGAAGAAAUAAAGUCCAUCGGACUUUGGACGGUACCUGACUAAGAAGCCCCGGCUAACUACGUGCCAGCAGCCGAGGUAAUACGUAGGGGGCAAGCGUUAUCCGGAUGUACUGGGUGUAAAGGGAGAGUAGACGGCCGCGCAAGUCUGGAGUGAAAUCCCAUGGCGUAACCAUGGAACUGCUUUGGAAACUGUGAAGCUGGAGUGCAGGAGAGGUAAGCGGAAUUACUAGUGUAGCGGUGAAAUGCGUAGAUAGUAGGAGGAACACCAGUGGCGAAGGCGGCUUACUGGACUGUAACUGACGGUGAGGCUCGAAAGCGUGGGGAGCAAACAGGAUUAGAUACCCUUGUAGUC